UAAGGUGUGGCUGGUAGAGAAAUGGUGAAAUGAGAGGAAGAAAGGGUAAGGCUGCAGAAGACGCUGGCUUCGCCCCUGCCCCACGGAAACCUCAGAGCUUCUCUUUGAUCUGCACUUUGGCCGCAGAACUCACUGGCUGUACCCACUGUCAUUCUCUCCAGCGGGCAUAGACUGGCGCUGAGUGAAACUAGCCCACAAUCCUUGUAAAUCACUGCUUUCCAUUCAUGCUUAUUUCGCUAAUGCCACCGCUCAGCCACUGUCUUGAUUAAUGCAGGAAAAAGGAGGUUACAAUUAAGUGAGAUGAUUUUGCACCCAGGAAAUAGCAGAUGAGUUGGAUAAACUGCACAGUUAUUGGUGAGUAAAGAAGCAGAUUUAAGCUGCCCUUGGGUACUGGAAACAGGAAGCUCAGAGAGACCUUGGAGCAACUGCUCCUCUCUUACAAAGCCUUUGGUAAUUGUGAAGAGGAAAAACGUAUGUGUUGUGCAGACGAAGUGGAGCACAUGCAAUUUGAGAUUCAGAUGCUGAAAAGCAGGGAAAGGAGCCUGUCUCAUGCUCUGGAUUAUCCUGUUGCCAGUCCAUGAGCAAGAACUUGGCCAGCCUGUCCAAUAGGACGUUCAACAUCAAUCUUAUUCUAGCUUGUCUCGGGGAUGCUUUCCCGAAUGUUCGUAAGCACUAUUCAAAUGCCAAAAGCCAUGAAAAGGAUUAUUUGCUUGGGACACCAUGCCCAUUUUCUGCUAAUGCAGAAAUGUCAUCAUACAAGAUGGCCACAUAUUAAACACAGAGAGAGGCAAGUUUUGGGGAGUGUGCACCUAGGGAAGCAGUUCUCAAAGCAUGGUCUAGGGAACCCUGCAAGUCCUUGAGGCCUUUUUACAGGGGAUCUGAGAUAUUGAGACAUUAUUUAACUUGUUCACUCUUAUUCUCUCUCAAACACACAGUAGAGUUUUUCAGAAAGUGCAUGACAUGACAUGGCAACAGACUGAAUGUAGAAGCAGAUAUGAAAUCCAACCACCUCCCAUUAAUUCAGACACUAAACAGAGCUGCAGUAAAGUAAAACAAUGACACUAUUUUGAAAAAUAUUUUUCAAUAAUAAGAAUUUAUGAAAAAGACAAGAGGCAACAAAUGUUGGCAACAAUAGGGAGAAAAGGAAAACCUAGUAUAAUGUUGGGGGGAAUGUAGACUGGUACAGUCAUGGAUAACAGUACAGAGAGUCCUACAGAAAUUAAAGUUGGAAUGAUCAUAGGACCCAGUGAUCCCUCUUCUGGGCAUAUACUCAAGAGAGACAAGCUCAUCACUUCAAAAAGAUAGCUGCACUCCCGUGUUCACUGUGGCAUUAUUCACAAUAGCCAAGAUAUGGAUACAAACUAAAUGCCCACUGAUGAACGAACCAAUAAAGAAAAUGUGGUGUGUGUAUAUAUAUAUAUAUAUAUAUAUAUAUAUAUAUAUAUAUAUAUAUACACAUAUAUAUAUAUAUGCAUGAUGGAAUAUUAUUCAGCCUUAGAAAAGGAGAUCCUUCCAUUUGCCACAUCAUGGAUGGACCAAGAAGACAUUAUGUACAGUGAAGUAAGCCAGACAAAGAAAGAAAAAUAUUGCAUGAUCUCACUUAUAUGUGGAAUUUAAAAAGCUCAAAUACACAGAGAUAGAGAAUGAAACAAUGAUUACCAUGAGUAGGCGGUAAAGGGUGGGGGAGAGAAAACGGAAAGAUGUAGGUCAAAGGAUACAAAACAGCAAAUAUGUAGGAUGAACAAGCCUAGAAAUCUAAUGUACACCGUGAGGACUACAGUUAAUAAAAUUGUAUUAUAUUAGGGAUUUUUGUUGAACAAGUAAAUUUUCUUUUUUAAGCCAGUCACACUUAGAUUUUUAGCU
RNAcentral lists this long non-coding RNA (1863 nucleotides) under Homo sapiens (human). RNAcentral's name for it is "HSALNT0120565". The record is from RNAcentral. Lineage: Eukaryota; Metazoa; Chordata; Mammalia; Primates; Hominidae.